This 497-nucleotide ribosomal RNA is filed under the name uncultured bacterium. Its description in RNAcentral is "partial 16S ribosomal RNA". It matches the Rfam family "Bacterial small subunit ribosomal RNA", at positions 28 to 507 of the family's 1533-position model. The record is from RNAcentral.
GACGAACGCUGGCGGCGUGCCUAAUACAUGCAAGUCGAGCGAACGGACGAGAAGCUUGCUUCUCUGAUGUUAGCGGCGGACGGGUGAGUAACACGUGGAUAACCUACCUAUAAGACUGGGAUAACUUCGGGAAACCGUAGCUAAUACCGGAUAAUAUUUUGAACCGCAUGGUUCAAAAGUGAAAGACGGUCUUGCUGUCACUUAUAGAUGGAUCCGCGCUGCAUUAGCUAGUUGGUAAGGUAACGGCUUACCAAGGCAACGAUGCAUAGCCGACCUGAGAGGGUGAUCGGCCACACUGGAACUGAGACACGGUCCAGACUCCUACGGGAGGCAGCAGUAGGGAAUCUUCCGCAAUGGGCGAAAGCCUGACGGAGCAACGCCGCGUGAGUGAUGAAGAUCUUCGGAUCGUAAAACUCUGUUAUUAGGGAAGAACAUAUGUGUAAGUAACUGUGCACAUCUUGACGGUACCUAAUCAGAAAGCCACGGCUAACUACGUG